AUACGGAGGGUGCAAGCGUUAUUCGGAAUCACUGGGCGUAAAGGACGCGUAGGCGGAUUGGCAAGUCAGAUGUGAAAUCCUACAGCUUAACUGUAGAACUGCAUUUGAAACUGCUAACCUAGAGUAUGGGAGGGGGAGAUGGAAUUAGUGGUAUAGGGGUAAAAUCCGUAGAUAUCACUAGGAAUACCGAAAGCGAAGGCGAUCUCCUGGAACAUAACUGACGCUAAGGCGUGAAAGCGUGGGGAGCAAACAGGAUUAGAAACCCUAGUAGUCC
This 274-nucleotide ribosomal RNA is filed under the name uncultured bacterium. RNAcentral's name for it is "partial 16S ribosomal RNA". It matches the Rfam family "Bacterial small subunit ribosomal RNA", at positions 523 to 796 of the family's 1533-position model. The record is from RNAcentral.